Molecule: transfer RNA, 77 nt
Filed under: Candidatus Cloacimonadota bacterium
Lineage: Bacteria; Pseudomonadati; Candidatus Cloacimonadota
Also listed under: 1 other name
Description: tRNA-Arg
Rfam family: tRNA
About the family: Transfer RNA (tRNA) molecules are approximately 80 nucleotides in length. Their secondary structure includes four short double-helical elements and three loops (D, anti-codon, and T loops). Further hydrogen bonds mediate the characteristic L-shaped molecular structure. tRNAs have two regions of fundamental functional importance: the anti-codon, which is responsible for specific mRNA codon recognition, and the 3' end, to which the tRNAs corresponding amino acid is attached (by aminoacyl-tRNA synthetases). tRNAs cope with the degeneracy of the genetic code in two manners: having more than one tRNA (with a specific anti-codon) for a particular amino acid; and 'wobble' base-pairing, i.e. permitting non-standard base-pairing at the 3rd anti-codon position.
Source: RNAcentral
GCCCCCGUAGCUCAGCUGGAUAGAGCGCUACCCUCCGGAGGUAGAAGUCACGUGUUCGAAUCGCGUCGGGGGUGCCA